AAAGUCCCCAAAACAACUGUCUGGGAAGCCAGAAAGAUGGGGAGAGGGAGAACAAGUUUGUGUUCUUGAGGUACCAGCAGAGCACACACUGAAAGUACCGUGGGAUGGGAACUUCUUCCCUUCAGAAAGAUGGGAAAGGAUGAAGAGAUUUGGUGCAUUCAGUCUCUACCUGUACAGAAACUGCUCAAUUCCCCUGUUCAGGCUGGCACCUUCUCUGCAGCUCUUCCAGUUCUGUCACAUCCAGCUGGAGACAGGGUAACAAAAGCUGCACAAAGCUUAUGAAGCACAGGAACAUCACAAGUUAGAGCUGGAAGGGCUGCAUUAAGAGCUGAGCCCCAAGACUAGCACAAAAUGAGAGCAAAGGGACUUUUCCAGUGAUAAAUCUGAAGAGAUAUAAAGGCAUUUCCAGGACCAUCACUAUGAUAAAAUCCAGGUACAGAUUUUUCCUUUACAACUCUCUGUUUAAAUAAUCAUUUGGUGACCUGUGAUGGCACACAUAGUUAUGCAUAUAGUAGGUGCUACAAUACAGUUCAGUUUGGAUUUUUAUUUUUAAUGCUCUCAACACCUUUAUUUCCCACCCCCCCACCAGCACAGUCAAAAAGAACAGCCAAGUUUCAGCUUACAGAGGUAGGAUCUGCUGCACUCCUGUUUAUGGGAUUUGGGCAGUGGAUUUCCAGGGGAGGUUUCCAGCCUACACACUCAUGGACCACUGUGUCAUAAUGGUCUGGUAAAAAGAAUGCUCAUCCCUUUUCUCUGAAACCUGUCCUUCAAACACAGCAGAAAUGGAGCUUUACCCACUCUGCAAUUGAGUAAAAACAGCAUCAACAUCCUUGUCUUCACCAGUGAAAACUGUUUUCUCCCUUUCCUUCCCCCUAUCCAAACUCUCUAAAAAAUGAGUUGGAUAAGUGAAUCAGCCCUUACCCCAUCAGAGAAUGGAAAAAGACCAUGUUUAUAUGCUUUAUCCCCUUUUAAAAAAAUUAAUACACAGUUUAUGACCAUCGACACAUUUACGCUCAUUGUUAGGAGGGUGGGCAAACAGAAAUUUUCAAGAUCUUUGCACCAAACAAACAUAACCCCUCUGGUCAGCUCCAAUCAAUUCAGAUGGCAGCUGUACACUCACUGACAUUUUUGGAAAAAACGGCUGUAUUUUGUGACUCCCAAAGAAAUCUACACCCUCCCAACAGCAACACCUAAAUCAAUCUACUCUGCUUCAGAGUAAGCUGAAAAAUAGUUACACAUCAUCAAGUUAUAUAGAAAUAUAUUUUUAUAUACAUUACAUCUCUACCAAAAUGCAAAAGUAAUUUUAGUACAGAAGAGUGAGCUAUUGCAUCUCUGUGAUGCACUUCAUGGGGGCAACUCAUGUGAGCACAGUCACUGGGCAUUAUGAAGGCACUGGUUUAGUUCUUACCUCUGCUGCUUAUACACAGUGAUAUAUUAAUAAAAUUACCAUUUCCCUGAUGUCCCAGGACCUACAGCUGCUUUCAGGUGUCCUAUUGUUUACAAUUAUUCCAAGUAAUUAAAUAUCAGAGACUGGGUGUUUCAAAGAUGUAUCUUUGGUUAAAAUCUACCAAACAAAGCCCCUCAGCUGCUGCAUC
Molecule: long non-coding RNA, 1595 nt
Organism: Passer domesticus (house sparrow)
Lineage: Eukaryota; Metazoa; Chordata; Aves; Passeriformes; Passeridae
Exons: 3
Source: RefSeq, a predicted model, not a curated record